Molecule: ribosomal RNA, 1474 nt
Filed under: Leuconostoc mesenteroides subsp. mesenteroides
Lineage: Bacteria; Bacillati; Bacillota; Bacilli; Lactobacillales; Lactobacillaceae
Description: bacterial SSU rRNA
Rfam family: Bacterial small subunit ribosomal RNA
Source: RNAcentral
AACGCUGGCGGCGUGCCUAAUACAUGCAAGUCGAACGCACAGCGAAAGGUGCUUGCACCUUUCAAGUGAGUGGCGAACGGGUGAGUAACACGUGGACAACCUGCCUCAAGGCUGGGGAUAACAUUUGGAAACAGAUGCUAAUACCGAAUAAAACUUAGUGUCGCAUGACACAAAGUUAAAAGGCGCUUCGGCGUCACCUAGAGAUGGAUCCGCGGUGCAUUAGUUAGUUGGUGGGGUAAAGGCCUACCAAGACAAUGAUGCAUAGCCGAGUUGAGAGACUGAUCGGCCACAUUGGGACUGAGACACGGCCCAAACUCCUACGGGAGGCUGCAGUAGGGAAUCUUCCACAAUGGGCGAAAGCCUGAUGGAGCAACGCCGCGUGUGUGAUGAAGGCUUUCGGGUCGUAAAGCACUGUUGUAUGGGAAGAACAGCUAGAAUAGGAAAUGAUUUUAGUUUGACGGUACCAUACCAGAAAGGGACGGCUAAAUACGUGCCAGCAGCCGCGGUAAUACGUAUGUCCCGAGCGUUAUCCGGAUUUAUUGGGCGUAAAGCGAGCGCAGACGGUUUAUUAAGUCUGAUGUGAAAGCCCGGAGCUCAACUCCGGAAUGGCAUUGGAAACUGGUUAACUUGAGUGCAGUAGAGGUAAGUGGAACUCCAUGUGUAGCGGUGGAAUGCGUAGAUAUAUGGAAGAACACCAGUGGCGAAGGCGGCUUACUGGACUGCAACUGACGUUGAGGCUCGAAAGUGUGGGUAGCAAACAGGAUUAGAUACCCUGGUAGUCCACACCGUAAACGAUGAACACUAGGUGUUAGGAGGUUUCCGCCUCUUAGUGCCGAAGCUAACGCAUUAAGUGUUCCGCCUGGGGAGUACGACCGCAAGGUUGAAACUCAAAGGAAUUGACGGGGACCCGCACAAGCGGUGGAGCAUGUGGUUUAAUUCGAAGCAACGCGAAGAACCUUACCAGGUCUUGACAUCCUUUGAAGCUUUUAGAGAUAGAAGUGUUCUCUUCGGAGACAAAGUGACAGGUGGUGCAUGGUCGUCGUCAGCUCGUGUCGUGAGAUGUUGGGUUAAGUCCCGCAACGAGCGCAACCCUUAUUGUUAGUUGCCAGCAUUCAGAUGGGCACUCUAGCGAGACUGCCGGUGACAAACCGGAGGAAGGCGGGGACGACGUCAGAUCAUCAUGCCCCUUAUGACCUGGGCUACACACGUGCUACAAUGGCGUAUACAACGAGUUGCCAACCCGCGAGGGUGAGCUAAUCUCUUAAAGUACGUCUCAGUUCGGAUUGUAGUCUGCAACUCGACUACAUGAAGUCGGAAUCGCUAGUAAUCGCGGAUCAGCACGCCGCGGUGAAUACGUUCCCGGGUCUUGUACACACCGCCCGUCACACCAUGGGAGUUUGUAAUGCCCAAAGCCGGUGGCCUAACCUUUUAGGAAGGAGCCGUCUAAGGCAGGACAGAUGACUGGGGUGAAGUC